UUGGAGGGCAAGUCUGGUGCCAGCAGCCGCGGUAAUUCCAGCUCCAAUAGCGUAUAUUAAAGUUGUUGCUGUUAAAAAGCUCGUAGUUGAAUUUCGGGAUCAAUUUAUUGGUCGUGCUAUUGUACGUACUGGUAUUAUUGAUUCCUACCUUCUGACGAACCAUGAUGUCAUUAAUUUGGUGUCAUGGGGAAUCAGGACUGUUACUUUGAAAAAAUUAGAGUGUUUAAAGCAGGCUCACGCUUGAAUACAUUAGCAUGGAAUAACGAAAUAGGACGUUUGAUUCUAUUUUGUUGGUUUCUAGGAUCGACGUAAUGAUUAAUAGGGAUAGUUGGGGGCAUUAGUAUUCAAUUGUCAGAGGUGAAAUUCUUGGAUUUAUUGAAGACUAACUACUGCGAAAGCAUUUGCCAAGGAUGUUUUCAUUAAUCAAGAACGAAAGUUAGGGGAUCGAAGACGAUCAGAUACCGUCGUAGUCUUAACCAUAAACUAUGCCGACUAGGGAUCGGAUGAUGUUAAUUUUUUAAUGACUCAUUCGGCGCCUUACGGGAAAC
RNAcentral lists this ribosomal RNA (548 nucleotides) under uncultured Glomeromycotina. RNAcentral describes it as "SSU rRNA". It matches the Rfam family "Eukaryotic small subunit ribosomal RNA", at positions 548 to 1098 of the family's 1831-position model. Lineage: Eukaryota; Fungi; Glomeromycota. The record is from RNAcentral.